This 415-nucleotide ribosomal RNA is filed under the name uncultured archaeon CR-PA13a. RNAcentral describes it as "bacterial SSU rRNA". It matches the Rfam family "Archaeal small subunit ribosomal RNA", at positions 31 to 454 of the family's 1478-position model. The record is from RNAcentral.
UAUCAGAGUGAGAUUAAGCCAUGCGAGUCAACGUAGCAAUACGUGGCAUACGGCUCAGUAACACGUAGUCAACAUAACCAAAGGACGUGGAUAAACUCGGGAAACUGAGGCUAAACCGAGAUAGAUCAAGAUACCUGGAAUGGUUUUUGAUCAAAAUCUAUAUGGCCUUUGGAUUGGACUGCGUCCGAUCAGGCUGUUGGUGAGGUAAUGGCCCACCAAACCUAUAACCGGUACGGGCUCUGAGAGGAGGAGCCCGGAGAUGGGUACUGAGAUAAGGACCCAGGCCCUAUGGGGCGCAGCAGGCGCGAAACCUCUGCAAUAGGCGAAAGCUUGACAGGGUUAUUCUGAGUGACUUUCGUUAAGAAAGUCUUUUGACAUCUCUAAAAUGGUGUAGAAUAAGGGGUGGGCAAGUCUG